This 385-nucleotide ribosomal RNA is filed under the name uncultured Endozoicomonas sp. RNAcentral describes it as "bacterial SSU rRNA". It matches the Rfam family "Bacterial small subunit ribosomal RNA", at positions 30 to 407 of the family's 1533-position model. Lineage: Bacteria; Pseudomonadati; Pseudomonadota; Gammaproteobacteria; Oceanospirillales; Endozoicomonadaceae. The record is from RNAcentral.
AUUGAACGCUGGCGGCAGGCCUAACACAUGCAAGUCGAGCGGCAACAGGACUAGCUUGCUAGUUGCUGACGAGCGGCGGACGGGUGCGUAACACGUAGGAAUCUGCCCGGUAGUGGGGGAUAGCCCGGAGAAAUCCGGAUUAAUACCGCAUACGCCCUAAGGGGGGAAAGAUGGCCUCUUCUCGAAAAGCUAUCACUAUCGGAUGAGCCUGCGUCGGAUUAGCUAGUUGGUGAGGUAAAGGCUCACCAAGGCGACGAUCCGUAGCUGGUCUGAGAGGAUGAUCAGCCACACUGGGACUGAGACACGGCCCAGACUCCUACGGGAGGCAGCAGUGGGGAAUAUUGCACAAUGGGCGCAAGCCUGAUGCAGCCAUGCAGCGUGUGUG